Molecule: long non-coding RNA, 483 nt
Filed under: Trifolium pratense (red clover)
Lineage: Eukaryota; Viridiplantae; Streptophyta; Magnoliopsida; Fabales; Fabaceae
Description: long non-coding RNA (TPRA_LNC003181)
Source: RNAcentral
GCACGGAGCAACAACACACGGAUCGGUGUUACAACGGCGCACGACGGAUCAACGUCAUAACGGCGCCAAAAAAGGAGGAGGCUGUCGUCAGAGUCGUAGCUCCGCCCCAUCCUCUUCCUCCAUCCACCGAUCUAUUUCACAAAUUGAAAACCCGCAUAUGCAUAAUACAAUUACAAUUGUUCUCUUUCACAAAUUGCCACAGAUUCUGUAAUGCUUCUUUUUUUUAAUGCUUCCAAGUUCCAACCCCUAUAUUGUGUUAUGGAAUUGAAAUUGUUCUGAAUCUGUCGAUGAAAUUAUGCAGAAAUUUGUAAAAUACCAAUUUUAGGUAGAUUGUGUGUGAACGACGUGUUUUACUCAACUGUGUGAAUUUGUUGCUUUUUUUUUUUGGGAAGCAUUCUGAUACGUUGGAUUGGUUUAAUGGUUCUGAUUUUUUCAACUGUGUGUAACUGUGUCAUAUAUGGACUGCAGCAAAUCCAAAUCCCU